GGCUACCUGGCGCAAUGGUAGCGCGUUUGGCUUCGAUUGCAUUCCUACCAAAAGACCGCACGAUCGAGACUCUCGAUGUUCA
Jaapia argillacea MUCL 33604 is the source of this 82-nucleotide non-coding RNA. The record is from the annotation of a GenBank genome assembly. NCBI's taxonomy places the organism in Eukaryota, Fungi, Basidiomycota, Agaricomycetes, Jaapiales, Jaapiaceae.